Molecule: unclassified non-coding RNA, 187 nt
Filed under: plant metagenome
Description: partial contains small subunit ribosomal RNA and internal transcribed spacer 1
Rfam family: Eukaryotic small subunit ribosomal RNA (bases 1-46)
Source: RNAcentral
AAGUCGUAACAAGGUUUCCGUAGGUGAACCUGCGGAAGGAUCAUUACAGUUGGGGCCCCGCCCGACUCAAGAUACCAACCCUUGCACUUUUGAGUUACUCUGUUCUUCGCGGGCCGGCCCGCCCAAUGGGGACCACGAAGAAACCUCUUGCAGUUGCAGUAAACGUCUAAACAAACAAAAAUCAAAA